CCGCUUGCCCCUGUCGGCAGGAAGCCGCAGCCAACAGACAGAAGAGAAGACACGCAGGAGGAGACUACUUCCGAUGACGAUGAUGGCAUGCCGCCCAUUGCCGCUGUGGGCAGAAAGGCGCAGCCGGAGGAAAGGAGAGAAAAUCUGCAGGCGGGCAAAGCAGGCAAGGCGGAGC
RNAcentral lists this non-coding RNA (175 nucleotides) under Pseudo-nitzschia fraudulenta. The record is from RNAcentral. Lineage: Eukaryota; Bacillariophyta; Bacillariophyceae; Bacillariales; Bacillariaceae.